AAAAUGGUUAUGUCUCUUUAAAUGAGAAUUGGAUUUUCAUUUCAUUUAGCUCCAUUUAAAUCAAUUCUAUGGAUACAAAAACCAAAUGACAAUGUUGCAUUCAAAGUUUAAUUAGUUAAAGCGUUAAUUAAUUAAAGGGUGAUUAUGAACCUAAGCCUACGAUAAUUGAGCUAUGUGAAAGGCCAUCUCAAAUUUGUUUGAACCAUGGGAAUGUGUAGAUUAGAUUUUGGUUGUAAUUUGAUAUGAUCAAAUGUUGUAAAAG
Molecule: long non-coding RNA, 262 nt
Filed under: Malus domestica (apple)
Lineage: Eukaryota; Viridiplantae; Streptophyta; Magnoliopsida; Rosales; Rosaceae
Description: long non-coding RNA (MDOM_LNC006027)
Source: RNAcentral